CUGAUCCCUUCCCGAACUCAGAAGUGAAACCUCUUUGCGCUGAUGGUAGUGUGGGAUUACCCAUGUGAGAGUAAGUCAUCGCCAGCA
This 87-nucleotide ribosomal RNA is filed under the name Acinetobacter apis. Lineage: Bacteria; Pseudomonadati; Pseudomonadota; Gammaproteobacteria; Moraxellales; Moraxellaceae. The record is from RNAcentral.